CAUCUAGGCGAUCAAUCAAGUCGAAGGUGAAAACUUGUGGCUCAACCAUAAGCUUGCCUACGAAACUGAUUAACUAGAGUACUGGAGAGGUGGACGGAACUACACGAGUAGAGGUGAAAUUCGUAGAUAUGUGUAGGAAUGCCGAUGAUGAAGAUAGUUCACUGGACAGAAACUGACGCUGAAGUGCGAAAGCUAGGGGAGCAAACA
Molecule: ribosomal RNA, 207 nt
Filed under: uncultured bacterium
Lineage: Bacteria
Description: partial 16S ribosomal RNA
Rfam family: Bacterial small subunit ribosomal RNA
Source: RNAcentral